CAUGUCUUUUUGAAUAUAAUUUAAAGUCUAGCCUGCCCUAUGAAUUGUUUUAAAUGGCUGCGGUAUUUUGACCGUGCAAAGGUAGCAUAAUAAUUAGUUUCUUAAUUAGGAACUGGUAUGAAUGGUUGGACGAGAAAAAUACUGUCUCAAUUUAAUUUUUAAUUAGAAUUUUAUUUUUAAGUUAAAAAGCUUAAAUGAUUUUAAAAGACGAGAAGACCCUAUAGAGUUUUAUAUUAAUAUUAAUAUAUAAAAAUUAAAGUAUUUUAAUUUUAUUUAUUUAAAUUAGUAUUUAAUUGGGGUGAUUGAAAAAUUUAAUUAACUUUUUUUAAUUUUUAAACAUUAAUGAAUGAAUAAUUGAUCCAUAUUUUUAUGAUUAUAAGAUUAAAUUACCUUAGGGAUAACAGCGUAAUUUUUUUUGAGAGUUCUUAUCGAAAAAGAAGUUUGCGACC
This 449-nucleotide ribosomal RNA is filed under the name Temnoplectron politulum. Its description in RNAcentral is "partial 16S ribosomal RNA". The record is from RNAcentral. Lineage: Eukaryota; Metazoa; Arthropoda; Insecta; Coleoptera; Scarabaeidae.